CAUACUUCCGCAAUCCACCAGUGCUCAGCGGCCAAGCCUGGUAUUGCAGCUGUUUAAGCGGGCUAUGGACCCUCGAUUGAAGUGGCCCAGAGGGGUUGUCCACAAAGCCGGUUUUAUCACAUAACCGGGUAAAUUAACCCAGGGUUUGCGGUAACCCUAGGUUUUCCGUUCCAAAAGGAACACGGUAUGUUAGUUGCUAUAGAAACAUAUGCUCUGAAUCAAACCUGGUCGGAGCAGGUUUUGCGCAGGUUAAGUUCAAAGAUAACCCGGUUUUGCUCAGGGUAUUUAAACCCGCGUUCACCACAGCUUUUACGUGACCACAAUGGCAUGCCCUUUUGACGAGAGGCCGGUUGAUAUCGGAGCGCAAAUAAUUCGUGCAAUUCACAGAGAGAGAUUAAUUAGACCACGGCUCGACAUAUUGUCCUUUCCGGAGGACUUUUUGCUGGAGAGAUAUCGUUUUUCACAUGAUUCUUUGCUAUAUUUAAAUAACCUUCUCCAACCCUACAUUGCAAAUGUUACCAAUCGUGGAUCUGCCCUCUGUUCACUCCAAACAAGUUUUUUUUCGACGGGUAGCUUUUUAUACAGUGUAGGAGAUCCUGAGCACAUAGGCAAAGCCACGGUCUGCCGCUCAGUAGGCUACGUAAAGUUUGUCUUGCGCUGAAGCGGUUGUUGCGUAACUUCAUCGUUUUUCCAGGCCAUAAACCCACGAGACGCAUGUAAAUGGAGUUUCACCAACUUGCAGAUGAUAUGUGAUGCUUCCCACAUGAUCACCAAUGUAGAGGCAUAAUGGCCUGGUUCAGUCCACGAUGCCAGGAUGUAUCGUGAAUCCAAUUUGAGCCGUAAAUUUCAAGAGGGACUUCGUUGAGUCCACUGCCACCAGCCCCCCCCCCACCUCUCCCUUAUGCUCCUCCACCCCAGGCACCUCUUCCACCACCCCAGACACCCCUUCCAAGAGGAGAGUGCCAGGGAGCAGGCGAGGCAUGAGGAGAGCGAGGCAAAGUUGGCGGAAUGGUUGAGAAGAUGUGAUUCUCCACCAUUCUCUCAAAAGCUGAGAGAGAGAGAGUGUGUGUGUGUGUGUGUGUGUGUGUGUAUUUUUAGAUGCGUCUGUGUGUAUUUUUAGAUGUGUGCUUCAGUGUUUCUUAUUUAAAUAAAGUGUUUCUUCUAAAGUGUUCUUGUUCAUAACCGAUUAUUUUCUAAGGGUGCACUCACACUAGGCCAUCUGGCCGUGGCCGUGGCCUAACCAUGCUCAAAUCUGCCAGUGUGAGUGUGGCCAGUCUGGCCAGGCCGGGCCAAUUUGGCCACUUGGGAGAGGUGUGCUGCUACGGCACGGGCCGCUACGGUACAGAUGCUAAUGAGCCGACACGCGCACACGCACGGCUACGCAACCUGAGCUGGAUGACGUAUAGUCAAUGCGACGACCACGGACAUAAUAAAGGCGACGAGCCUUCUUUCCCAUUAAACGGUAAACAUUGCGUCAAGCAGUUCAACUGUUGGUGUGUUCUCUGUGUUGUUCUGUGUCUGUCCAUUGUUGUUAAAACUGACUGGCGGUAGACUUUAUAUGGUCCAUGCAGCGGACACUUGGUGAUGACGUGUUACGACGUGAUGACGUAUGUACAAGAGCCUUCCGUGGCCAGGCCACAGCUGCGACGGCCAACGGCCACGGCCAGAUGGCCUAGUGUGAGUGCAGGCCAGAGAACAAUGGGGCCAUUUGAGCACGGUUAGGUGUGAAAACGGCCAACGGCCACGGCCAGAUGGCCUAGUGUGAGUGCACCCUAAUACCACCUUUAACA
This is a long non-coding RNA of Gadus chalcogrammus (walleye pollock), 1790 nucleotides long. RefSeq lists it as uncharacterized. NCBI's taxonomy places the organism in Eukaryota, Metazoa, Chordata, Actinopteri, Gadiformes, Gadidae. The transcript has 3 exons. The record is from RefSeq and is a predicted model, not a curated record.